UCCCUACGGGAGGCAGCAGUGAGGAAUAUUGGUCAAUGGGCGGGAGCCUGAACCAGCCAAGUCGCGUGAGGGAAGACGGUCCUAUGGAUUGUAAACCUCUUUUGUCGGGGAGCAAAGAGGCCACGUGUGGUCAAAAGCGAGAGUACCCGAAGAAAAAGCAUCGGCUAACUCCGUGCCAGCAGCCGCGGUAAUACGGAGGAUACGAGCGUUAUCCGGAUUUAUUGGGUUUAAAGGGUGCGUAGGCGGGACGGUAAGUCAGCGGUAAAAUUGAGAGGCUCAACCUCUUCGAGCCGUUGAAACUGGUU
Molecule: ribosomal RNA, 305 nt
Filed under: uncultured bacterium
Lineage: Bacteria
Description: bacterial SSU rRNA
Rfam family: Bacterial small subunit ribosomal RNA
Source: RNAcentral